RNAcentral lists this transfer RNA (64 nucleotides) under Folsomia candida. RNAcentral's name for it is "tRNA-Thr". Lineage: Eukaryota; Metazoa; Arthropoda; Collembola; Entomobryomorpha; Isotomidae. The record is from RNAcentral.
GUUUUUAUAGUUAAUUUUAUAAUAUUAGUUUUGUAAACUUAAGUGUGCUUAAAGCAUAAAAACU